Molecule: unclassified non-coding RNA, 1636 nt
Filed under: Hevea brasiliensis (rubber tree)
Lineage: Eukaryota; Viridiplantae; Streptophyta; Magnoliopsida; Malpighiales; Euphorbiaceae
Source: RNAcentral
UUGAGUAUAUUCCAAGAAGGUAAAAGUGGUGGGAAAGAUACUCUAAAACUGGAAACAAAUGGUGAAGUUGGCAAGGAAACUGAAGGGGAAGAGGCUGUUGGUGCAAAGACUGAAUCAAAGUCUGAAACCCCAGCAACUGAAAAUAAGGGUGAAAUAGAGAAAUCUGCUUCUGGAGUGAAGAAGGAUGGGGAGAAUCCACCUCCAGCUAAAGCCCCUGAAGUUCCUCCUGACAAUGAAUUCGAGAAACGAAUCAGGCCAGAGGUUAUCCCUGCAAGCGAGAUUGGAGUGACAUUUGCAGAUAUUGGUGCCUUGGAUGAAAUUAAAGAAUCACUUCAGGAGCUCGUCAUGCUCCCUCUUCGAAGACCAGACCUCUUCAAAGGUGGGCUUCUUAAGCCUUGUAGAGGCAUAUUACUAUUUGGGCCUCCAGGCACAGGAAAAACAAUGCUAGCCAAGGCCAUAGCAAACGAGGCUGGAGCAAGUUUCAUUAAUGUCUCAAUGUCUACCAUCACUUCAAAAUGGUUUGGUGAAGAUGAAAAGAAUGUCCGAGCGCUGUUUUCACUUGCUGCAAAGGUCUCCCCAACUAUCAUAUUUGUUGAUGAGGUUGAUAGCAUGCUUGGGCAGCGGACCAGAGUUGGUGAGCAUGAGGCCAUGCGGAAGAUAAAAAAUGAGUUCAUGACGCAUUGGGAUGGACUGUUGACAAAACCUGGUGAGCGAAUUCUUGUCCUUGCUGCUACCAACAGGCCAUUUGACCUUGAUGAAGCAAUUAUCAGGAGGUUUGAGCGCAGAAUUAUGGUUGGCCUUCCAUCAAUUGAGAGCAGGGAAAUGAUCUUGAAGACUCUUCUGGCAAAAGAGAAAACUGAAGAUCUGGACUUCAAGGAACUUGCAACCAUGACAGAAGGAUAUAGUGGAAGUGAUCUUAAGAACUUGUGUGUGACAGCUGCUUAUCGACCUGUUAGAGAGUUAAUACAGCAGGAAAGAUUGAAAGAUAAAGAAAUAAAGCAGAAAGCUGAAGAAGGCACAAGCUCAGACGAUGCUUCAGGUACAAAAGAAGAAGACAAAGAGGAAAGAGUAAUUAUUCUGAGGCCUUUAAACAUGGAAGAUAUGAGGCAGGCUAAGAAUCAGGUUGCUGCAAGUUUCGCAGCUGAAGGAUCAAUAAUGAGCGAGCUAAAGCAAUGGAAUGAAUUGUAUGGAGAAGGAGGUUCAAGGAAGAAGCAACAAUUGACUUACUUCCUCUAGAUUGUAGAAAGCUGUCAUUUUAGAGGCAAAUCAGUAAUAGAAAGGAGAUCAAAGUUCAAGGAAAGCCAGCGCGCCGCAAGUGAAACCAGAAAUGUGAUUGUUCCAGGCAUACAACUGUGCAGCAGUGAAUAGAAAGCUGCAACACCAGUCAACAGAGUGAAAUUCUAGCAACUCCAGCAGAGCUUGUGUCAGGGUGCUGUGUAUUUUCUAAAAUCAUUGUCUGAAAUUUGUGCUCCAUGCAAACAAGAGAGGGUUCUAUUGUUUGUUUAGGCCAUCAUUGGAAACCACAUUUGGUAUUGUAAUUAUGUUGUGGAACUUGGAAAUGCAUACGGAUUUGUGGAAUUUAGGAGGAACCCUUUUAUAUUGGGUUUAUAUUUGCACCCUAUAAACUAUAUUAUCG